CUCCUACGGGAGGCAGCAGUCGAGAAUUUUUCUCAAUGGGCGAAAGCCUGAAGGAGCGACGCCGCGUGGGGGAUGAAUGGCUUCGGCCCGUAAACCCUGUCAUUUGUGAACAAAUUGACUCACUUAACACGUGUGUCAUUGAUUGUAACGGAAGAGGAAGGGACGGCUAACUCUGUGCCAGCCGCCGCGGUAAUAC
This 196-nucleotide ribosomal RNA is filed under the name uncultured bacterium. Its description in RNAcentral is "partial 16S ribosomal RNA". It matches the Rfam family "Bacterial small subunit ribosomal RNA", at positions 336 to 526 of the family's 1533-position model. The record is from RNAcentral.